CCUACUGGAGGCAGCAGUGGGGGAUAUUGCACAAUGGGGGAAACCCUGAUGCAGCAACGCCGCGUGAGUGAUGACGGCCUUCGGGUUGUAAAGCUCUUUCUUCAGGGACGAUAAUGACGGUACCUGCGGAGGAAUCCACGGCUACCUCCGUGCCAGCAGCCGCGGUACUACGUAGGUGGCGAGCGUUGUCCGGAUUUACUGGGCGUAAAGGGAGCGUAGGCGGACUUUUAAGUGAGAUGUUAAAUACUCGGGCUCAACUUGAGUGCUGCAUUUCAAACUGGAAGUCUAGAGUGCAGGAGAGGAGAAUGGAAUUCCUAGGGUAGCGUUGAAAUGCGUAGAGAUUAGGAAGAACACCAGUGGCGAAGGCGAUUCGCUGGACUGUAACUGACGCUGAGGCUCGAAAGCGUGGGGAGCAAACAGGAUUAGAUACCCGGGUAGUC
This 440-nucleotide ribosomal RNA is filed under the name uncultured bacterium. Its description in RNAcentral is "partial 16S ribosomal RNA". It matches the Rfam family "Bacterial small subunit ribosomal RNA", at positions 338 to 795 of the family's 1533-position model. The record is from RNAcentral.